This 468-nucleotide ribosomal RNA is filed under the name uncultured bacterium. RNAcentral's name for it is "partial 16S ribosomal RNA". It matches the Rfam family "Bacterial small subunit ribosomal RNA", at positions 28 to 507 of the family's 1533-position model. The record is from RNAcentral.
GACGAACGCUGGCGGCGUGCUUAACACAUGCAAGUCGAACGGAAAUGCCCUUCUUUUGUUGGGUGCUCGAGUGGCGAACGGGUGAUUAACACGUGAGUAACCUGCCCUUGACUUUGGUAUAACUUCAGGAAACUGGGGCUAAUACCGGAUAGGAGCUCCUGCUGCAUGGUGGGGGUUGGAACGUUUCGGCGGUUGGGGAUGUACUCGCGGCUUAUCAGCUUGUUGUUGGGGUAGUGGCUUACCAAGGCUUUGACGGGUAGCCGGCCUGAGAGGGUGACCGGCCACAUUGGGACUGAGAUACGGCCCAGACUCCUACGGGAGGCAGCAGUGGGGAAUAUUGCACAAUGGGCGGAAGCCUGAUGCAGCAACGCCGCGUGCGGGAUGACGGCCUUCGGGUUGUAAACCGCGUUCGCCUGUGACGAAGCGCGAGUGACGGUAAUGGGUAAAGAAGCACAGGCUAACUACGUG